RNAcentral lists this long non-coding RNA (2372 nucleotides) under Carica papaya (papaya). RNAcentral describes it as "long non-coding RNA (CPAP_LNC013037)". The record is from RNAcentral. Lineage: Eukaryota; Viridiplantae; Streptophyta; Magnoliopsida; Brassicales; Caricaceae.
UUUUGUAAGAAUUAUGCAUUUUGAUUUUUUAUUUUGUUUGACUCUAUUUUAAUUAAAUUUGACAUAAUUUGAUGGAUAAAAUUAAUUCCUAAAAUGAAUUGAACUUUGCGGGUUGUGGGGAAUUUUCUUUCCAUAAGAUUCCUGCCCGUGAAAUUCCAAAGACAAAAUUCCAAAUCCACAGAUCCACUAGCCCGCGAAAUCACGUGAACAUGCAAAACAACUUUCUAUGUUUUGCUUGCAAACUCGCAGGAGGCACAAAUCCUACACCCGCAGAUUGUGCCCAUGGACCUUGCCUAGGGAACGACAAGCGUGCAUGAAUCCAUUUUUGGCCUUGCCUGAUUGGACACCACUACAUGGAAAAGUAUUAGUGCCUCAACCACCUGGCAGUGACAAGCUUUUGGCCAGCUAGAUAUUACAACUCCAUCUUCUUUCUACAACUUACUGCCGGUCAUUUCUUCUCAUCAACGGUUGGGAGCGGCUGCAUGUGAAUAGAAGGCUUGUAUUAGCUGGACAUUCCCUUAAAAGCCUCUUCUACCCUAAUAACUCCUUCAUUCAUUCAACCAAAAAACAAAAUAGCAAGAAAAUUAGUAAGUUGAGAGUAAUUAGAGACUUCGGUAGUGAGGGAUUUAGGAAAAACGAAACUGGUGUUCGAGUGAGGUUGGGAGCCUGAAGUUGGUUUAUGUUUGAGAUAAGCCUUCAAUUUUUCUGGAAUACAUCCUUCCAUUUCUCCCUAGACUUGAACACAGCCCUCACCGAUGUUAGGAUUUCAGAAAUAGUGUAGAAGGCUUCAAACAAAGCAAUUUUUCCCAAAAUUUUUCAGAAGUUGCAGACCAAGCAGUUAGGUUACUAUCCUUUUGUUUUUCUCUUCCAUUUAGUUAAUCUAUUGAGCUUUAUGUAGUCUGAAAUUAUAAUAGGAUCAUAAAAACUUGUUAGAAAUCGGCUAAACCAAUUAAAUACUCUAAAAACAGGAAAUUAAUUAUAACUUUUUAUAACAGCUUCACCAUGUUGCAGAACCUUCCUUCAGUCUUCAAAACCCGACUGUUCCCUUGUGCAUUUUCAACUUGAAACUAUGACUCCUUUGAGGUAAGGUGGGUAAUAGUUUAUUAAAUGCAUAUAUGGAUUUCUAGAUGACAUUUCAUUCGGUAAAUCUCUUCAAAAAUUCAAAAGCAAAGAUACAUUUUAAAAGAAAAGGGUUAGUGAGUUCAUGUUUGCAUUUUGAUGUUUGUAUAAAUUAUUUUGAACGAUUUUAUUGUUGUGAAUGUUGGUCUUAUAUUGACAAAUGAGAUGAAUGAUGAUUUGCAAAGGGAAAAUGGGAUAGGGUCAAUGACAGAAGCCAAUUUACUUAUGUUAAGCGUGUUAGGCACCAAUGUGUCAUCGUUGUUAUGCACACACGUGCUUACUGUGCUGGUUCACGGAGAAGAUAUUUUUUGAGCACCCAGAACUGUCUGAAAACGUCUCUGGCACGAUUCUUUUGUGCAAUUGCUGAUUACGCGAGUGAGAAAUGCUGUCAGUCAUUUGCAAAUGCCAAAAAGGGAUGCGUGUGAAUGUGUCCAUUACACAUCAACCCAUGCCCCAUGGGCCAAUUGCCUUGUGCAAUAUAGGCCAACAGGCCAUGCUGGAUCGAUAGGCAUAAGCAUGUCGAGGGACCUUAACAGAAGCCCACUGGGCCUUGUACCUAGUAAGGGAGAUUCCUCUCUCGUGUUGUACAAUUUGGACAUAAUGGGCCUUUGGGAAAAAAAUUGGAAAUUUAAUAAAAAGAAAUUAAAAAGUAACAACUGGUAUGGUUUUAGAAAUUGUAAGGAAAUAGUGAAGUAAAGUUAAUUUAGAAUAAAUUAAAAGAUGAUAAAAAUAAAAUAAUUAAGACAUUAAAAUUACAAACAAUAAAAGUUAAGUAAAAAUAAGUAAUAAAAUAUCCUUAAAAACCUAAAUGAAUAAUUAAUAAGAAUUCAAAACUUUAGUAAAUAAAUAGGGAAAAUUAACAUAAAACUUGGGAAAUUAAAUUAAGAAAAAUUUAAAAGAUCUAAAAUUUUAAUAACAAAGAGUUUUCUUUUAUCACUCAUUCAAAACAAAGUCUAUAAUCAUUGAAUAAUUUAUUAACCAGCACAAGUCAAAAUAUGUCACCAACAAGCAUUCAUACUAUCUUACGUUAUUCUUACUUUAUUUAUCUAAAAAGAGCACUUAAAAACAUAAAAAUAAAGUACUACGAAAUCUCUUACUGUAAUCGGAUUGACUUAGCCUUUUGGUAGCGAAGGAAAAGCUUUUAGAAAUCCACCGAACGAGUUUGUGAAACUCCAAACUUUUCAUUUCUUUCUUGCUCCUUAACUUUGUCAAAAGUUUCUCCUCUUUCUUUCUUUAAGAUUAAAAAAAUAAAG